AGCAGUAGCCGCGGGAAUACGGAGGGUGCAAGCGUUAAUCGGAAUUACUGGGCGUAAAGCGUGCGUAGGCGGCUUCUUAAGUCGGAUGUGAAAUCCCUGAGCUUAACUUAGGAAUUGCAUUCGAUACUGGGAAGCUAGAGUAUGGGAGAGGAUGGUAGAAUUCCAGGUGUAGCGGUGAAAUGCGUAGAGAUCUGGAGGAAUACCGAUGGCGAAGGCAGCCAUCUGGCCUAAUACUGACGCUGAGGUACGAAAGCAUGGGGAGCAAACAGGAUUAGAUACCCCUGUAGUCCCUGUCUCUUAUAC
Molecule: ribosomal RNA, 303 nt
Filed under: uncultured bacterium
Lineage: Bacteria
Description: partial 16S ribosomal RNA
Rfam family: Bacterial small subunit ribosomal RNA
Source: RNAcentral